Molecule: long non-coding RNA, 1790 nt
Organism: Monopterus albus (swamp eel)
Lineage: Eukaryota; Metazoa; Chordata; Actinopteri; Synbranchiformes; Synbranchidae
Exons: 4
Source: RefSeq, a predicted model, not a curated record
AACUAGACAAAUGCAUUUCCUGAAGAAAAUGCGUGUGGAUGCUGAUUGCUGAAGAAUCGCCCUGAAAUGGCUGAAAUCCAUUUCUGAAACAGGUGAUGCCUGAGAUGCAAUGCUGAGGAAAAGAAAUUGCUGAACAAAUAUUUACUGCGCCAUGGACAAAUAUGCUGCUGACUCAGCAUCCACACAAUUAAUAUAGGCUUAUUUUAUUUAGAGUAAACCUACAACUAUGCCCCCAAAAUCUAUUUUCACAAUGUGUUGAAGCCUCUACACACCAGUAGUCCCACUGCUGAGAUCUUCUCAGGACUGUUUUAUCCAUCCAAACAGGCCUAUUCAGUUUUACUAUCAUGACAAAAACAAUCAAGACAAACACCAUUGGCUAAGAUGGAAACAGCUAAUGUUGCAACUGCAAAUCCAUUUUAAUGAAAAAGAAUGACUGAAACAAAUAACUGACUAGAGUCUGACAGUGGUGAACAGCAACCUGUUUGUGGUCAGACAACGUGGACACUGUCUCCUCCCAGCAGCCGACAGCUUUAGAUUAUGAACCAGAAAUGCAGCAAAGAGGACAUCUGAAUCACACUGAGCUUCAAAAUUCAUUCCUUGAUCUAGACUGUGUAGAUUCAUGACUGGAUUAAAUAAAACCCAUAAAAUCACACUUGCUAUUAAGGUUGUGUCCCGGUGUCUGGGCUCUUUAGGGCAGUAUUCACUCAGUGAUACAGGCUGGUCACUUUGUGUUCAAAAGCAGAGACAUCUUGUCGCUUAAUAUGAAAGAAUCGCCUGUUUUCUGGAAAUACUAUUAUCAGCUGAUGAAGCUCAGCGUCAUGUUACCUGCAUGGGCAAAUUGAACACUGCCUGAUUAUUGGUGGCAGGGGAGGAAGUGGGUCAGUGGUUGGUCCCGCAGACCAAUCAUCCAAUCAACAAUAAGGGCCAUGCCCAGUGGGCGUGGCCACAAGCCUUUUAAACCCUGAGAGCAGCUGGUGGAGUCUGUCAUGCAUCCUGUAAGUCUCUAUGUCAGUUGCUGUAAUGCUGGUCCAAGCGUCUGAUUUUGAUUCAGAUACGUUGGUUUGGUGCCAGGAAGUUAGCAAUUAUAUUCAGAGGCAAAAAUAAACUGAGGGAAGUUGUUUAGAAAUUGCUUUCAACUUAGGCUGUCUUGUGCAUGCAGGAAAACUGAGCUUGGAUUGUUUGGUGUGUGACAGAGGCUGAAAUAUGUACAAGUGGCCUGUUUGUGGCAGCUCGGCUGCAUUGCUGAAGUGAAUGUGUGGUGUAUGUGCUUAGGAGAAAUCCCGGUCGAGCCUGUCUGGAUUCACAAGGACUGUGGAAAUGGGACCAAAAAAUGUAGAUCUACGAACUAGAAGCUGACAUGGGAUGCUGGGACCCAGAAGUUGUCGCUUUCAGCUGUGAAGAAGACUGAGACCCAGCUGUACCAGACCUUCAUCGACAAUGGUUCCUCUGCACCACGAGUUGUUGAUUUCUUCAGAAACAUCAAGUAUCCAUCUCAGUCCACUUCAUUAAAUCUGUCUUUGAACUUAAGAUUGAGUGAUGCCCUUAGGACACUGAAGCUGGAGAAAACAACCUGCUGAUGUAAACGGGACUAUGAGGAGGUUGCUGCAGGUGUCCACACAAACUUCUUUGGUCCUGACAGUUGAGACUGACUUGAUGAGAUCUUGAUGGGACUGUUUCAGCUGAAGCUCAGUCAGCUUUACCCAAGUCUACCUCCACCUUGGAUGAGAUGACAGCUACUGAACUAUAACCUUUCUGCAGGAGUAGUGUGUUAAUAUUAAAAAAAAAAAAAA